This is a non-coding RNA of Gossypium hirsutum (cotton), 152 nucleotides long. The record is from Rfam. NCBI's taxonomy places the organism in Eukaryota, Viridiplantae, Streptophyta, Magnoliopsida, Malvales, Malvaceae.
UGUUAAAAAUUUCAUCCAUUUGUAUAGUUAAAAAUUGGCAUGGUUGAUGGAAUAACAAUACAAUAACAUGUGACAUGUGACAUGCCAUGUGUAUCUCAUGUUGAUGUACAAGGACCAAUUUUUAAUAGCAAAAAUGGAUGAAAUUUUUAACA